RNAcentral lists this ribosomal RNA (480 nucleotides) under uncultured bacterium. RNAcentral describes it as "partial 16S ribosomal RNA". It matches the Rfam family "Bacterial small subunit ribosomal RNA", at positions 30 to 507 of the family's 1533-position model. The record is from RNAcentral.
AUUGAACGCUGGCGGAAUGCUUUACACAUGCAAGUCGAACGGUAGAGGGGGCAACCCCUUGCGAGUGGCGAACGGGUGAGUAAUAUAUCGGAACGUGCCCAGUCGUUGGGGAUAACGUAGCGAAAGUUACGCUAAUACCGCAUACGAUCUAAGGAUGAAAGCGGGGGAUCGCAAGACCUCGCGCGACUGGAGCGGCCGAUAUCAGAUUAGGUAGUUGGUAGGGUAAAGGCCUACCAAGCCAACGAUCUGUAGCUGGUCUGAGAGGACGACCAGCCACACUGGAACUGAGACACGGUCCAGACUCCUACGGGAGGCAGCAGUGGGGAAUUUUGGACAAUGGGCGAAAGCCUGAUCCAGCCAUUCCGCGUGCAGGAUGAAGGCCCUCGGGUUGUAAACUGCUUUUGUACAGAACGAAAAGGUUUCUAUUAAUACUAGGAGCUCAUGACGGUACUGUAAGAAUAAGCACCGGCUAACUACGUG